AUGUGAGGGAGAUCUGGCUGACAUCUGUCACCCGUUGAUUGCCAGCGUUGACUGGGCUGAUCUGGCUGGCUAGGCUGGUGUCCCCUUCCUCCCUCACUGCU
Unclassified non-coding RNA from Myotis lucifugus (little brown bat), 101 nucleotides. Its record names the gene 7SK. It matches the Rfam family "7SK RNA". Rfam says of the family: 7SK was discovered as an abundant small nuclear RNA in the mid-70s but a possible function has only recently been suggested. Two independent studies have found that 7SK RNA binds the CDK9/cyclin T complex (known as elongation factor P-TEFb). Lineage: Eukaryota; Metazoa; Chordata; Mammalia; Chiroptera; Vespertilionidae. The record is from Ensembl.